This 301-nucleotide ribosomal RNA is filed under the name uncultured bacterium. Its description in RNAcentral is "partial 16S ribosomal RNA". It matches the Rfam family "Bacterial small subunit ribosomal RNA", at positions 509 to 807 of the family's 1533-position model. The record is from RNAcentral.
CAGCAGCCGCGGGAAUACGGAGGGUGCAAGCGUUAAUCGGAAUAACUGGGCGUAAAGCGUGCGCAGGCGGUUUGUUAAGACAGAUGUGAAAUCCCCGGGCUCAACCUGGGAACUGCAUUUGAGACUGUAUGGCUAGAGUGUGUCAGAGGGGGGUAGAAUUCCACGUGUAGCAGUGAAAUGCGUAGAUAUCGGAAGGAACACCAGUGGCGAAGGCGGCUACCUGGACUGAGACUGACACUGAGGCGCGAGAGCGUGGGGAGCAAACAGGAUUAGAUACCCCCGUAGUCCCUGUCUCUUAUAC